Cryptomeria japonica (Japanese cedar) is the source of this 475-nucleotide long non-coding RNA. RefSeq lists it as uncharacterized. NCBI's taxonomy places the organism in Eukaryota, Viridiplantae, Streptophyta, Pinopsida, Cupressales, Cupressaceae. The transcript has 4 exons. The record is from RefSeq and is a predicted model, not a curated record.
AUAUCGGCUGUCUUAUUUUACAUUUUAAUUUGAAAUCUCCUUCCGAAUUUUACCGUUGAAGUGCCUCCUUCAUAGCAACUGUGCUUUCCAAAAAAUUGAAGUGCCUCGUUUCUAGCUACAGUGCUUUCCAAAAACAUAAUUCAAAUUCUCCUUUCAGAUUUUACUGUUGAAGUGCCUCGUUUCUAUCUACCGUGCUUUCCAAAUAAUUGAAGGAGGAAUUAAAGGGCUGCCAAGGUCUCAGAACAACCAUUGUGUACUUAGGUGAUGCUGAAGGGGCAGGGGAAUGGGGAGAAGGUGAUGUAGCUGAAAACUUGAAAGUACAGUCGGAACAUUCAAUGGGAAAUUUGAAGGGUUGCAAAGGUCUCAGAACUACCAUUGUGUACUUAGUUGAUGCUGCACAUAUCUAAAGAUGGCUAAGCGGAAGACAACAGUCCCAAGGAAGAAAAUUGGAUGGCCAGUUGUUUAUAAUUUAUAA